AAAAAAGUCGGGCAAAAAAUGCUCGCUAGGAAUAUAGGCUUCUAGCGGCCAGCGGCCAAACUAUACGCACAUUUCUUCUUCGGUGAUCUUGAUAGGAGAAACAUGCGUAUUCACGACGAGAGGGGAAAUGUGCAUUCCUACCACACAUCAGCGAAGGAAACAACAAUCAGGAUAAUCACAGAAUAACAACGGCAACCAUCUUCUUGGAAAUGAUUAUUAUAAAAUAAUUAUAUAAAAUGUAUUUAAACAGAUUUUGCAUAAGUCAGAGUAGUUUAACAGCAUUUUACAAUGUUGUUACUUUUCGUUUUCAUUAUCCAAUCAUAUAAAAAUCAAAAAAUGAAAUCAGGAAAUAAUUAAGAACACGCGAAAUUUAAAGACGAAUAGUAUAAAAAAAGAUCGCGAAACAACUUUUGAAAAUUUCGAGAAAUGAUCUCAAAUUUCAAGAAUUAUCGAGAUAAUAUCACUUCUUACAAAAUUAUAUUCUUCUGAAACAAAACCUAUAUCUUGAGGAAAAAUUCUUUCGAGGCGUCGAAAUUUUCAAUUUCGAAAAGCUCUUAAAAUGUAGCUAAAACAGCUCUUUUCAUAUGAAAAUGACGAUCAAAAUGUUAUAAGUGCUCAUGGUAUAGCGCGGCGUUGUAUCACUCGUUUUUGAAUUGCCACUAGCUGCCUGCAUAUGCACGGUUCUCCUACUAUUAAUGCUGGAGGAAGAAAUGUGCAUAUAAUUGGGCUGUUUCACCACUAGAGUAGGUAAUUUGUGAAACACGUUUGGCUGAAUUUCUUCCAUGAACAUCGGCGGUCACCCUACUCAUUUCUGACAUUACCAACCAGCAUUUAUUUGAGAAUUUUACACAUGUUCAAUAAAAUGGUUCAUUUAACAAGAUUUAGCUAUUGCUUGUACGCCUUAAAUAUAACCAUUAAUAUUAUUGAAGUUACAGCACUGUACAAAAUAAUUAAUAUAUUCCCUUCAUCAUUCAACCAUAAUUGCUCAAUAAAGAUAAUGUGAAUUAUA
This is a long non-coding RNA of Bombus huntii, 1009 nucleotides long. RefSeq lists it as uncharacterized. Lineage: Eukaryota; Metazoa; Arthropoda; Insecta; Hymenoptera; Apidae. The transcript has 2 exons. The record is from RefSeq and is a predicted model, not a curated record.